UGAGGCCCCAGGUCAGGCGGGAUUACCCGCUGAAUU
RNAcentral lists this ribosomal RNA (36 nucleotides) under Rinorea verrucosa. Its description in RNAcentral is "partial 28S ribosomal RNA". Lineage: Eukaryota; Viridiplantae; Streptophyta; Magnoliopsida; Malpighiales; Violaceae. The record is from RNAcentral.